CCGUUAGGCCUUCGGGCUUAUGUAUCAUAUACUCUGAAUGUGUCAUAGAAUGUUCAUGUUGCCUUAAAACGCAAUCAAAUACAACUUUCAACAACGGAUCUCUUGGCUCUCGCAUCGAUGAAGAACGCAGCGAAAUGCGAUAAGUAAUGUGAAUUGCAGAUUUUCAGUGAAUCAUCGAAUCUUUGAACGCACCUUGCGCUCCUUGGUAUUCCGAGGAGCAUGCCUGUUUGAGUGUCAUUAAAUCCUCAACCCCACCGAUUUGCUUCGGGGGGAUUGGACUUGGAGCGUGCUGGCGAAGGUCGGCUCCUCUUUAAAUGCAUCAGCGGAGAAGAAAGCUCGUCCCAGUGUGAUAAUCCUGUUGCGCUGUGGUGGGGUGAAAAUUCCGCUUCCAACCGUCCUCCGGGACAAGACAUCUCAAUUUGACCUCAAAUCAGGUAGGACUACCCGCUGAACUUAAGCAUAUCAAUAAGCGGAGGAA
This 478-nucleotide ribosomal RNA is filed under the name uncultured Amphinema. RNAcentral's name for it is "eukaryotic LSU rRNA". The stretch from base 83 to 237 matches the Rfam family "5.8S ribosomal RNA". The record is from RNAcentral. Lineage: Eukaryota; Fungi; Basidiomycota; Agaricomycetes; Atheliales; Atheliaceae.